GUAAGGACGCGUAGGCGGGAAGCCAAGUCUGAUGUGAAAUCCUAUGGCUUAACCAUAGAACUGCAUUGGAAACUGGUUACCUAGAGUAUGGGAGGGGGAGAUGGAAUUAGUGGUGUAGGGGUAAAAUCCGUAGAUAUCACUAGGAAUACCGAAAGCGAAGGCGAUCUCCUGGAACAAUACUGACGCUAAGGCGUGAAAGCGUGGGGAGCAAACGGGAUUAGAUACCCCGGUAGUCCACGCCCUGAACGAUGUUCACUAGUCGUCGGAAUGCUAGUCAUUUCGGUGAUGCACUUAACAGAUUAAGUGAACCGCCUGGGGAGUACGGUCGCAAGAUUAAAACUCAAAGGAAUAGACGGGGACCCGCACAAGUGGUGGAGCAUGUGGUUUAAUUCGAAGAUACGCGAAGAACCUUACCUAGCCUUGACAUUGAAGAAACACUUUAGAGAUAGAGUGGUGCCCUUCGGGGAAUCUGAAAACAGGUGCUGCACGGCUGUCGUCAGCUCGUGUCGUGAGAUGUUGGGUUAAGUCCCGCAACGAGCGCAACCCUCGUCCUUAGUUGCCAGCAGGUUAAGCUGGGCACUUUAAGGAGACUGCCUUCGCAAGGAGGAGGAAGGUGAGGACGACGUCAAGUCAUCAUGGCCCUUAUGGCUAGGGCUACACACGUGCUACAAUGGGGCGUACAGAGAGUUGCGAUACCGCGAGGUGGAGCCAAUCUCAUAAAGCGUCUCUCAGUUCGGAUUGGAGUCUGCAACUCGACUCCAUGAAGCUGGAAUCACUAGUAAUCGUAGAUCAGCAAUGCUACGGUGAAUACGUU
RNAcentral lists this ribosomal RNA (814 nucleotides) under uncultured bacterium. RNAcentral's name for it is "bacterial SSU rRNA". It matches the Rfam family "Bacterial small subunit ribosomal RNA", at positions 561 to 1372 of the family's 1533-position model. The record is from RNAcentral.